This 1859-nucleotide long non-coding RNA is filed under the name Ananas comosus (pineapple). RNAcentral's name for it is "long non-coding RNA (ACOM_LNC040316)". The record is from RNAcentral. Lineage: Eukaryota; Viridiplantae; Streptophyta; Magnoliopsida; Poales; Bromeliaceae.
UAUCUAUUACUAUAUAUAAAAGUAGAACCCUUAAUGAACCCUAUGUGAGAAGCUGACACGUGGCUUUUUAUAUGCUUGCCACGUGUCAAACUUAAAUAUGAAUAUUUGGUUACGAAUUAUUUAAAAUUAUUGGUUUAAUUAAUUAUUUAAAAUUAUUGAUUGCGUAAACUCAAAUUUCGUAUUGGCAGAUAAUUAAUUAUUUAAAAUUAUUGGUUGCGAAAUAAACAAUAAUCUGUUGCGAAUUAUUUGAAAUGGUUAGUUGCGAAAAAAAUGGUCAAACUUAAAUUUCGUAUUGGCAGAUAAUUAAUUAUUUAACCCUAUGUGAGAAGCUAACACGUGGCUUUCUAUAUACUUGCCACGUGUCAAACUCAAAUAUGGAUAUUUGGUUACGAAUUAUUUGAAAUUAUUGGUUUAAUUAAUUAUUUAAAAUUAUUGGUUGCGAAAUACGUAAUAAUCUGUUGCGAAUUAUUUUUUCACCGUGGAAAUAAUCUGUUGCAAACUCAAAUUUUGUAUUGGCAGAUAAUUAAUUAUUUAAAAUUAUUGGUUGCGAAAUAAGCAAUAAUCUGUUGCGAAUUAUUUGAAAUGGUUAGUUGCGAAAAAAAUGGUCAAACUUAAAUUUCGUAUUGGCAGAUAAUUAAUUAUUUAACCCUAUGUGAGAAGCUAACACGUGGCUUUCUAUAUACUUGCCACGUGUCAAACUCAAAUAUGGAUAUUUGGUUACGAAUUAUUUGAAAUUAUUGGUUUAAUUAAUUAUUUAAAAUUAUUGGUUGCGAAAUACGUAAUAAUCUGUUGCGAAUUAUUUUUUCACCGUGGAAAUAAUCUGUUGCAAACUCAAAUUUUGUAUUGGCAGAUAAUUAAUUAUUUAAAAUUAUUGGUUGCGAAAUAAGCAAUAAUCUGUUGCGAAUUAUUUGAAAUGGUUAGUUGCGAAAAAAAGGUCAAAGUCAAAUUUCGUAUUGGCAGAUAAUUAAUUAUUUAAAAUUAUUGGUUCCAAAAUCAAUAAUCUAACGGUCAAACUCAAAUUUCGUAUUGGCAGAUAACAGUCAAACUCAAAUUUCGUAUUGGCAGAUAAUUAAUUACUUAAAAUUAUUAGUUGCGAAAUAAGCAAUAAUCUGGUUAGUUGCGAAAAAAAGGGUCAAACUUAAAUUUCGUAUUGGCAGAUAAUUAAUUAUUUAACACUAUGUGAGAAGCUGACACGUGGCUUUUUAUAUGUUUGCCACGUGUCAAACUCAAAUAUGGAUAUUUGGUUACAAAUUAUUUGAAAUUAUUGGUUUAAUUAAUUAUUUAAAAUUAUUGGUUGCGAAAUACGUAAUAAUCUGUUGCGAAUUAUUUUUUCGCGGUGAAAAUAAUCUGUUGCAAACUCAAAUUUCGUAUUGGCAGAUAAUUAAUUAUUUAAAAUUAUUGGUUGCGAAAUAAGCAAUAAUCUGUUGCGAAUUAUUUGAAAUGGUUAGUUGCGAAAAAAAGGUCAAAGUCAAAUUUCGUAUUGGCAGAUAAUUAAUUAUUUAAAAUUAUUGGUUCCAAAAUCAAUAAUCUAACGGUCAAACUCAAAUUUCGUAUUGGCAGAUAACAGUCAAACUCAAAUUUCGUAUUGGCAGAUAAUUAAUUACUUAAAAUUAUUAGUUGCGAAAUAAGCAAUAAUCUGGUUAGUUGCGAAAAAAAGGGUCAAACUUAAAUUUCGUAUUGGCAGAUAAUUAAUUAUUUAACACUAUGUGAGAAGCUGACACGUGGCUUUUUAUAUGUUUGCCACGUGUCAAACUCAAAUAUGGAUAUUUGGUUACAAAUUAUUUGAAAUUAUUGGUUUAAUUAAUUAUUUAAAAUUAUUGGUUGCGAAAUACGUAAUAAUCUGUUGCGAAUUAUUUUUU